Molecule: ribosomal RNA, 248 nt
Filed under: uncultured bacterium
Lineage: Bacteria
Description: partial 16S ribosomal RNA
Rfam family: Bacterial small subunit ribosomal RNA
Source: RNAcentral
AAGAUGGCGACCGGCGCACGGGUGAGUAACACGUAUCCAACCUGCCGAUAACUCCGGAAUAGCCUUUCGAAAGAAAGAUUAAUACCGGAUGGCAUACGAAUAUCGCAUGAUAUUUUUAUUAAAGAAUUUCGGUUAUCGAUGGGGAUGCGUUCCAUUAGUUUGUUGGCGGGGUAACGGCCCACCAAGACUACGAUGGAUAGAGGUUCUGAGAGGAAGGUCCCCCACAUUGGAACUGAGACACGGUCCAA